UACGUAGGGUGCGAGCGUUAAUCGGAAUUACUGGGCGUAAAGCGUGCGCAGGCGGUUUUGCAAGCCGGAUGUGAAAUCCCCGGGCUCAACCUGGGAAUGGCAUUUGGGACUGCAAGGCUCGAGUGCGGCAGAGGAGACUGGAAUUCCUGGUGUAGCAGUGAAAUGCGUAGAUAUCAGGAGGAAUACCGAUGGCGAAGGCAGGUCUCUGGGACUGACACUGACGCUCAUGCACGAAAGCGUGGGGAGCAAACGAGG
Molecule: ribosomal RNA, 255 nt
Filed under: uncultured bacterium
Lineage: Bacteria
Description: partial 16S ribosomal RNA
Rfam family: Bacterial small subunit ribosomal RNA
Source: RNAcentral